UCUCAGCAGCCAUGACACCCUUCAGAGACACCAGCAAAGAGAGGAGCCUCUCAUACUUCUGGGAUAGGCUCUUGGUGAGGGAAGUUUAUGUAAUUUUUAUGCCUAAUCACUAGGAGAAAAUAAACACCCUCUUUCCCAUUAACCUUGCAAACCCAAAUCUUCAAAGUAAAGAAGAACCUGUAGCCAGCUUUGGAUUUGCCUUUUAUUCUUCUCACUUUCUAGUAAGAGUGCUGUGCAGGGCUUUCAACAAGAAAAGCCCAAAGGAGUCUACUUGCUUUUGAAGCCACCCCUCUUGUCUGCCUCAUUCAUUUCAAACAGAGGUACUUCUCAGAGAGAUGAAGGCCUGUGUACAAACAACAAUGCCCACUGCAUUCUCUUGCCAUCUGUGAUGUGAUGGCUUUUGAUUCCACACACAAGCUGCCUUGUUUCAGAAGCUGAUGGAUGGUUCUACUGAAUGAAGGAGGCAACAAGAGCAAACGAACAGGGCUCCUGGUAAGGCGAGGACUUCAAGAGAAUGGGCUUGAAAGCACUUAAAAUGAAAGCAGCCACGGUGGAUCUCAUGAACUCUUGGCCUCUCCCUACUGGACUCCUGGAGCUCUGGCUUGCUGCUGAUUCUGUCACUGAGCUUGUUACCUAGCAAUGGGGUCACUCCCUGACACGCACAGAUCACAUGAUGUCAUCAGGAAUCCCAUAUGCUGUGGUGUCCUUGUGGGUCAAGAGAGGCCCAGUAUUUCUGGCCUCACAGGAUGAUUGUCAUGUAUGUUUGGAGGAUCUAACAUGUACAUGACAUUAAUAUAGACCACACUGUAAACAUGUGACAUGUUGAA
This is a long non-coding RNA of Talpa occidentalis (Iberian mole), 827 nucleotides long. RefSeq lists it as uncharacterized. The transcript has 3 exons. Lineage: Eukaryota; Metazoa; Chordata; Mammalia; Eulipotyphla; Talpidae. The record is from RefSeq and is a predicted model, not a curated record.